UUUAUCUCUGACGGUGCUAUAACUACUCCUGCUGCGUGUUUUCCAACAUUUCUAAUGAUGCCUUCCAAUUUCCUUGCCAUAUCAAAUAUUUCUUCUGCCUGUUCAUCUGUAUAAUUUUUAUCAUAAAUAUAGCCAGCCCCAUAUCUGUGCUGUAAAGGAAUUUUCCAAAUCCAGCCAUUCUUCAUACAAAUAGCUUGGGUAUAAGGUAUUGUUUUUGUGCGUGUGUGAAGAAGGCCUGAGGGUUGUAAAGCACUUUCAAUUGUGAAGAAAAGUUAACGGUUAAUACCCGUUAAUCUGUGACGUUAACUCGCAGAAGAAGCACCGGCUAACUCCGUGCCAGCAGCCGCGGUAAUACGGAGGGUGCGAGCGUUAAUCGGAAUUACUGGGCGUAAAGCGCGCGUAGGUGGUUAAUUAAGUCAGAUGUGAAAGCCCAGGGCUCAACCUUGGAACUGCAUUUGAAACUGGUUAACUAGAGUUUUGUAGAGGGUGGUAGAAUUUCAGGUGUAGCGGUGAAAUGCGUAGAGAUCUGAAGGAAUACCAGUGGCGAAGGCGGCCACCUGGACAAAGACUGACACUGAGGCGCGAAGGCGUGGGGAGCAAACGGGAUUAGAUACCCCGGUAGUCCACGCAGUAAACGAUGUCUAUUAGAAGUUUGUGGCUAUAUGCCGUGGGUUUCAAAGCUAACGCAUUAAAUAGACCGCCUGGGGAGUACGGCCGCAAGGUUAAAACUCAAAUGAAUUGACGGGGGCCCGCACAAGCGGUGGAGCAUGUGGUUUAAUUCGAUGCAACGCGAAGAACCUUACCAUCCCUUGACAUCCAGAGAAUCUGCUAGAGAUAGAUGAGUGCCUUCGGGAACACUGAGACAGGUGCUGCAUGGCUGUCGUCAGCUCGUGUUGUGAAAUGUUGGGUUAAGUCCCGCAACGAGCGCAACCCUUAUCCUUAGUUGCCAGCACGUAAUGGUGGGAACUCUAGGGAGACUGCCGGUGAUAAACCGGAGGAAGGUGGGGACGACGUCAAGUCAUCAUGGCCCUUACGGGAUGGGCUACACACGUGCUACAAUGGCAA
This 1065-nucleotide ribosomal RNA is filed under the name metagenome. RNAcentral describes it as "bacterial SSU rRNA". The stretch from base 179 to 1065 matches the Rfam family "Bacterial small subunit ribosomal RNA", at positions 1 to 1236 of the family's 1533-position model. The record is from RNAcentral.